UGCCUCUACUCCUGCUUGUACAGACUGCUUUUCCAGCAGCAUGGACACAAGAAGCAUACUGUAUUCCCUGAAUGACUACAAGCCACCAAUUUCGAAAGCGAAAAUGACCCAAAUCACUAAAGCAGCCAUCAAAGCUAUUAAGUUCUAUAAACAUGUGGUACAGAGUGUUGAGAAAUUCAUUCAGAAAUGUAAACCAGAAUACAAGGUACCUGGACUUUAUGUUAUUGACUCCAUUGUACGACAAUCUCGACAUCAGUUUGGUCAAGAAAAGGAUGUAUUUGCACCCAGAUUUAGUAAUAACAUCAUUAGCACUUUCCAGAAUUUAUAUCGUUGCCCUGGGGAUGACAAGAGUAAAAUAGUGAGAGUAUUGAAUUUAUGGCAGAAGAACAAUGUAUUUAAGAGUGAGAUUAUUCAGCCUCUUUUGGAUAUGGCAGCAGGAAUUCCUCCUCCAGUUGUCACACCUGUCCUGGCCAGUACUACUGCUGCUAUGAGCAAUACCCCAGGAACUCCUGUGACACCUGUUACUCCAGCCAAUGUGGUCCAAGGUUUACCUGAUCCAUGGGUAUCCCAGAUAGCAAAUACAGAUACACUUACAGCUGUAGCUCAGAUCUUACAAAGUCCUCAAGGCCAGCAGUUUCAGCAGUUAAUACAAACUUUACAGAUACAACAGCAGAAGCCCCAGCCUUCCAUCCUGCAGGCCCUGGAUGCUGGUCUUGUUGUUCAGUUGCAGGCUCUGACCGCACAGCUUACAGCUGCAGCUGCAGCAGCCAAUACGCUCAAUCCCUUAGAACAGGGAGUGUCUUUUAACAAGAAGUUGAUGGAUAGGUUUGAUUUUGGAGAAGAUUCUGAGCAUAGUGAAGAACCCAAAAAAGAAAUUCCAACUUCUCAACUUUCUCACGUUUCAGAAUCUGUGAACAAUUCCAUUUUUCAUCAGAUAGCAGAGCAACUACAGCAACAAAACCUAGAACAUAUCAGGCAGCAACUCCUGGAACAGCAACAGCCUCAAAAGGCAACCCCUCAGGAUAGUCAAGAAGGAACAUUUGGAUCAGAGCAUUCCGCGUCACCCUCACAAGGGAGCAGUCAACAGCAUUUCCUUGAACCUGAAGCAAAUUUGGAUGAUUCCAUAGAUAUUCAGCAACAGGACAUGGAUAUAGAUGAAGGGCAAGAUGGAGCGGAAGAGGAGAUCUUUGAACAAGAAGCAAAGAAAGUGGCUGUUCGCUCGAGAUCAAGAACACAUUCACGCUCUCGUUCAAGGUCACCAAGAAAACGAAGGUCUAGGUCACGGUCUGGAUCUCGAAAGCGUAAGCACAGAAAGCGAUCACGCUCACGCUCAAGAGAAAGAAAGAGGAAAUCAUCACGUUCAUACUCCAGUGAAAGAAGAGCUAGAGAAAGGGAGAAGGAACGACAGAAGAAGGGGUUACCUCCAAUUCGGUCUAAAACAUUAAGUGUGUGUAGCACUACCCUCUGGGUUGGUCAGGUGGACAAGAAGGCAACACAGCAGGAUUUAACCAACCUGUUUGAAGAGUUUGGACAAAUUGAAUCCAUUAAUAUGAUUCCUCCCAGGGGCUGUGCUUAUGUCUGCAUGGUUCAUCGACAAGAUGCAUUUCGGGCUCUUCAGAAGCUUAGUUCUGGAUCAUAUAAAAUUGGGUCCAAGGUCAUUAAGAUUGCUUGGGCUUUAAACAAAGGUGUAAAAACAGAAUACAAACAAUUCUGGGAUGUGGACCUUGGAGUUACAUACAUACCAUGGGAAAAAGUUAAAGUGGACGACUUGGAAGGUUUUGCAGAAGGAGGCAUGAUUGACCAGGAAACUGUAAAUACUGAAUGGGAAACUGUGAAAAGCUCAGAACCUGUUAAAGAGACGGUCCAGACAACUCAGAGCCCACCUCCUGUUGAAAAGGAAACAGUGGUCACAACCCAGGCAGAGGUUUUUCCUCCACCUGUUGCUGUGUUACAGAUUCCAGUAGCACCAGCUGUGCCUACAGUUAGUUUAGUCCCACCAGCAUUUCCUGUGUCAAUGCCGGUUCCUCCUCCUGGAUUCAGUCCAAUACCUCCACCUCCUUUUCUACGAGCAAGUUUUAACCCUUCACAACCACCUCCUGGUUUUAUGCCACCUCCAGUUCCACCACCUGUUGUACCACCGCCUACUAUUCCACCAGUAGUACCAACAUCUUUGGUGCAGCCGCCAUUAUCCAUGACUCCAGAAACUGUGAAAGAGGUUGGAUUUGGUAGCCUUGUUUUACCAGGUGGUUCUGUUGCCAGCAGUCUUGCUCCUUCCACUCUGCCAGCUGGAACUGUUUUUAAUCCUCCCCCUAAACAAGCAGAGCCUGAAGAAAAAGUACCUCAUCUUAUAGAUCACCAGAUCUCUUCUGGUGAAAACACCAGAUCAGUGAUUCCAAAUGAUAUUCCAAGCGGCUCUGCAAUUUUAGGAGGACAGCCGCCAAAUGUGACAAACAAUUCUGGAAUUCUUGGAGUUCAAAGACCAAAUGCACCAAGUAAUUCUGAAAUGCUUGGAGUCCGGCCAUCUAACGUUUCCAGUGGUUCUGGGAUUAUUGGAGCCCAGCCACCAAAUAUUCUAAAUAACUCUGGAAUUUUGGGAAUACAACCAUCCGGUGUUUCGAGUAAUUCUGGACUUAUGGGAGUACUACCCCCCAGUCUCCCUAACAAUUCUGGACUUAUAGGAGUACAGCCACCCAAUGUUCUAAAUACAUCUGGACCUUUGGGAACACAGCCACCCGGUGGGCCUCAAAAUUUACCCCCUUUACAUCUCUCUAAUCAAAGGAUGCCUGUAAUGCCAAUGUUAGACCUUCGUCCAGGACUAAUACCGCAGGCACCUGGACCAAGAUUUCCUUUGCUACAGCCUGGAAUUCCACCCCAACGAGGACUCCCUCCCCCAUCGAUGCUUGAUUCAGCUCUUCAUCCACCUCCCCGUGGUCCUUUUCCUCCAGGAGAUAUUUUUAGUCAGCCAGAAAGACCUUUUCUAAUUCCUGGAAGGCAAAGUAUAGACAAUAUUGCUAAUCCAGAAAAAAGGAUACCGCUUGGAAAUGAUAACAUUCAACAGGAAGGCGAUAGAGAUUACAGGUUUCCUCCUAUAGAAACCAGGGAAAGCAUGAGUAGACCUCCCCCAGUGGAUGUUAGGGAUGUGAUUGGGCGGCCUGUAGAUCCCAGAGAUGGUCCUGGAAGGCCUCCAUUAGAUGGCAGGGAUCAUUUUGUAAGGCCUCCUGUAGAUAUUAGAGAGAAUCUUGUGAGGCCAGGCAUGGAUCAUCUUGGUCGAAGAGACCACUUUGGCUUUACUCCAGAGAAGCCAUGGGGGCAUAGAGAUUUUGAUGAGAGAGAGCAUCGGGUUCUACCUGUCUUUGCUGGUCCAAAAGGCUUACAUGAAGAAAGAGGGAGAUUUCGGUCUGGAAGCUAUCGAUUUGAUCCCAGAAGUGGUCCUUGGAACAGAGGAUUUCAAGAAGUUCACAGAGAUUUUGAUGACCGCAGAAGACACUGGGAGAGGCAGAGGGAUAGGGAUGACAGAGAUUUUGAUUUCUGCAGAGAAAUGAAUGGAAAUCGUCUUGGACGAGAUAGAAUUCAAAACACCUGGGUCCCCCCUCCCCAUGCUCGGGUUUUUGAUUUCUUUGAAGGGGCCACUUCUCAACGAAAAGGUGAUAAUGUGCCUCAGGUUAAUGGUGAAAAUGCUGAGAGACAUGCUCAACCACCACCUUUACCAGUACAGAAUGAACCUGAACUUUAUGAAAAACUGACAUCUUCAAAUGAAAUAAACAAGGAGAAGAGUGACACAGUUGCUGAUGUAGAAAGUGAACCAGUGGUAGAAAACACAGAAACUGAGGGGACAUAAUCAUCACUCAGUAGAUGAUUGAGUGGCCAGGCCCUGUGUUGGGUGCUAGAGCAAUGACAUGCUGUCAUCCGUUAGAAGCUCCGAGUGUAAUAGUAACAGAAGGCAGGAAAGCGUGGAAACCAAGUGUGUACCCCGUGUUGCAUGGGACUCCAGGGAUCCAGGUCUGGCGGCUGAGAGGGACUCAUCCGAGAGGCUUCAGAAGGAAGGCAAGAUGAAUGAAGUGCUGGCAGCUUCCCGUGCCCCAGGCCUUGUAGGAAUAAGUGAGCCGCGCACCAGAGGGCUCAUGUGCGCCCCACCGGACCUGGUGCAAGGACCCUGUGCAAGGAAGCCUUAAGGAACCCGCCGUUACCACUGAGAAGGCUCUGUGCCCUCGGGCCUUGCUUCUGCUUGAAUCCAGAGGUUGCGAGCAUGCCUCCCUAUAUCACCUGUUGGAGCAGGUUUAAUUUUUUAAAUUUGAAACACAAACUCUAUGAGUUUCUAGUCCAUCAUUGUUCUUGUUGAGGAUCCACGCAGAUGAACAGGGCGGCGUCCGUAGGCGAUGUGCACGUCCGCUGGACCAGUUGACUGCAGCAUAAAUGGCAGCAGGCUCCAUCUGCCUCUCCAUCCAGGGCCGCGACAGAAGGACAGUUAGCAAGGAGACCCCUCCAGGAGAGAAGGUCCCAUUGUGUUGGAACCACAGAUUCCUAGAGCCGUAGCUUCAGUGACCAAGACUGUUCUCUUGAACACAGCGCGCGUAGACUGCAGCUCUUGAUGCUGGCUUUCAUCCAUUAUCAUUGGUCAUCACCUUGGACAGUCGCCAGCAUUGGACGUCUUAAGCGUUCAUUGAAUAAAAAUGCAGCUCUGAGAGAAUCCAGGGCUCGAUACAGUGUUCUGGGCACUGCGCUCCAGCGUUCGUGUCGCAGUAUUACUCAUGGCAGGUGCCCAGGUGGUUGAUGCCAAACCUAGUGGGAGAGGAAGCAAAAUGGCAACGAAGGGCAUAUUACAUUGUGUUGUAAACAUACUUUAUAAGUACAUUUCUUAUUAGCUGCUUAUUCGGGCAGAGAUGAUAACAUUUCUCUCUUGAGUUUCCAGACCAGGAUUUGUGUUUUGGAAAUUAUCAGUGUUCACAAUACCUGCAGGGGGGGAAAUACAAAAACUCAAGUACGAGCACUCUUUAUACCUGAAAGAAUGUUUUUAUCAUUCUUCUAAUUGUUUUGGCUCUGUCACGGAUUAAAGUGCUUGGAAUGCCGGA
Molecule: RNA transcript, 5069 nt
Organism: Myotis lucifugus (little brown bat)
Lineage: Eukaryota; Metazoa; Chordata; Mammalia; Chiroptera; Vespertilionidae
Gene: SCAF8
Gene name: SR-related CTD associated factor 8
Exons: 22
Source: RefSeq, a predicted model, not a curated record